RNAcentral lists this ribosomal RNA (2892 nucleotides) under Neisseria gonorrhoeae. RNAcentral's name for it is "23S ribosomal RNA". It matches the Rfam family "Bacterial large subunit ribosomal RNA". Lineage: Bacteria; Pseudomonadati; Pseudomonadota; Betaproteobacteria; Neisseriales; Neisseriaceae. The record is from RNAcentral.
AGUCAAGUGAAUAAGUGCAUCAGGCGGAUGCCUUGGCGAUGAUAGGCGACGAAGGACGUGUAAGCCUGCGAAAAGCGCGGGGGAGCUGGCAAUAAAGCUAUGAUUCCGCGAUGUCCGAAUGGGGAAACCCACUGCAUUCUGUGCAGUAUCCUAAGUUGAAUACAUAGGCUUAGAGAAGCGAACCCGGAGAACUGAACCAUCUAAGUACCCGGAGGAAAAGAAAUCAACCGAGAUUCCGCAAGUAGUGGCGAGCGAACGCGGAGGAGCCUGUACGUAAUAACUGUCGAGAUAGAAGAACAAGCUGGGAAGCUUGACCAUAGCGGGUGACAGUCCCGUAUUCGAAAUCUCAACAGCGGUACUAAGCGUACGAAAAGUAGGGCGGGACACGUGAAAUCCUGUCUGAAUAUGGGGGGACCAUCCUCCAAGGCUAAAUACUCAUCAUCGACCGAUAGUGAACCAGUACCGUGAGGGAAAGGCGAAAAGAACCCCGGGAGGGGAGUGAAACAGAACCUGAAACCUGAUGCAUACAAACAGUGGGAGCGCCCUAGUGGUGUGACUGCGUACCUUUUGUAUAAUGGGUCAACGACUUACAUUCAGUAGCGAGCUUAACCGGAUAGGGGAGGCGUAGGGAAACCGAGUCUUAAUAGGGCGAUGAGUUGCUGGGUGUAGACCCGAAACCGAGUGAUCUAUCCAUGGCCAGGUUGAAGGUGCCGUAACAGGUACUGGAGGACCGAACCCACGCAUGUUGCAAAAUGCGGGGAUGAGCUGUGGGUAGGGGUGAAAGGCUAAACAAACUCGGAGAUAGCUGGUUCUCCCCGAAAACUAUUUAGGUAGUGCCUCGAGCAAGACACUGAUGGGGGUAAAGCACUGUUAUGGCUAGGGGGUUAUUGCAACUUACCAACCCAUGGCAAACUCAGAAUACCAUCAAGUGGUUCCUCGGGAGACAGACAGCGGGUGCUAACGUCCGUUGUCAAGAGGGAAACAACCCAGACCGCCGGCUAAGGUCCCAAAUGAUAGAUUAAGUGGUAAACGAAGUGGGAAGGCACAGACAGCCAGGAUGUUGGCUUAGAAGCAGCCAUCAUUUAAAGAAAGCGUAAUAGCUCACUGGUCGAGUCGUCCUGCGCGGAAGAUGUAACGGGGCUCAAAUCUAUAACCGAAGCUGCGGAUGCCGGUUUACCGGCAUGGUAGGGGAGCGUUCUGUAGGCUGAUGAAGGUGCAUUGUAAAGUGUGCUGGAGGUAUCAGAAGUGCGAAUGUUGACAUGAGUAGCGAUAAAGCGGGUGAAAAGCCCGCUCGCCGAAAGCCCAAGGUUUCCUACGCAACGUUCAUCGGCGUAGGGUAAGUCGGCCCCUAAGGCGAGGCAGAAAUGCGUAGUCGAUGGGAAACAGGUUAAUAUUCCUGUACUUGAUUCAAAUGCGAUGUGGGGACGGAGAAGGUUAGGUUGGCAAGCUGUUGGAAUAGCUUGUUUAAGCCGGUAGGUGGAAGACUUAGGCAAAUCCGGGUUUUCUUAACACCGAGAAGUGAUGACGAGUGUCUACGGACACGAAGCAACCGAUACCACGCUUCCAGGAAAAGCCACUAAGCUUCAGUUUGAAUCGAACCGUACCGCAAACCGACACAGGUGGGCAGGAUGAGAAUUCUAAGGCGCUUGAGAGAACUCGGGAGAAGGAACUCGGCAAAUUGAUACCGUAACUUCGGGAGAAGGUAUGCCCUCUAAGGUUAAGGACUUGCUCCGUAAGCCCCGGAGGGUCGCAGAGAAUAGGUGGCUGCGACUGUUUAUUAAAAACACAGCACUCUGCCAACACGAAAGUGGACGUAUAGGGUGUGACGCCUGCCCGGUGCCGGAAGGUUAAUUGAAGAUGUGCAAGCAUCGGAUCGAAGCCCCGGUAAACGGCGGCCGUAACUAUAACGGUCCUAAGGUAGCGAAAUUCCUUGUCGGGUAAGUUCCGACCCGCACGAAUGGCGUAACGAUGGCCACACUGUCUCCUCCCGAGACUCAGCGAAGUUGAAGUGGUUGUGAAGAUGCAAUCUACCCGCUGCUAGACGGAAAGACCCCGUGAACCUUUACUGUAGCUUUGCAUUGGACUUUGAAGUCACUUGUGUAGGAUAGGUGGGAGGCUUGGAAGCAGAGACGCCAGUCUCUGUGGAGUCGUCCUUGAAAUACCACCCUGGUGUCUUUGAGGUUCUAACCCAGACCCGUCAUCCGGGUCGGGGACCGUGCAUGGUAGGCAGUUUGACUGGGGCGGUCUCCUCCCAAAGCGUAACGGAGGAGUUCGAAGGUUACCUAGGUCCGGUCGGAAAUCGGACUGAUAGUGCAAUGGCAAAAGGUAGCUUAACUGCGAGACCGACAAGUCGGGCAGGUGCGAAAGCAGGACAUAGUGAUCCGGUGGUUCUGUAUGGAAGGGCCAUCGCUCAACGGAUAAAAGGUACUCCGGGGAUAACAGGCUGAUUCCGCCCAAGAGUUCAUAUCGACGGCGGAGUUUGGCACCUCGAUGUCGGCUCAUCACAUCCUGGGGCUGUAGUCGGUCCCAAGGGUAUGGCUGUUCGCCAUUUAAAGUGGUACGUGAGCUGGGUUUAAAACGUCGUGAGACAGUUUGGUCCCUAUCUGCAGUGGGCGUUGGAAGUUUGACGGGGGCUGCUCCUAGUACGAGAGGACCGGAGUGGACGAACCUCUGGUGUACCGGUUGUAACGCCAGUUGCAUAGCCGGGUAGCUAAGUUCGGAAGAGAUAAGCGCUGAAAGCAUCUAAGCGCGAAACUCGCCUGAAGAUGAGACUUCCCUUGCGGUUUAACCGCACUAAAGGGUCGUUCGAGACCAGGACGUUGAUAGGUGGGGUGUGGAAGCGCGGUAACGCGUGAAGCUAACCCAUACUAAUUGCCCGUGAGGCUUGACUCU